GACGAACGCUGGCGGCGUGCCUAAUACAUGCAAGUCGAACGCAGUGGGGACGGGUGAGUAACACGUGGGUAACCUCCCAUCAGAGGGGAUAACACUUGGAAACAGGUGCUAAACCGAUACUGAUGGAUGGACCCGCGGUGCAUUAGCUAGUUGGUGAGGUAACGGCUCACCAAGGCCACGAUGCAUAGCCGACCUGAGAGGGUGAGCGGCCACACUGGGCCUGAGACACGGCCCAAACUCCUAGGUGAGGAGACAGUAGGGAAGCUUCGGCAAUGGACGAAAGUCUGACCGAGCAAGGCCGCGUGAGUGAAGAAGGUUUUCGGAUCGUAAAACUCUGUGGUUAGAAAAGCGGUUUCUAACCAGAAAGCCACGGCUAACUACGUGCCAGCAGCCGCGGUAAUUC
This 403-nucleotide ribosomal RNA is filed under the name uncultured bacterium. RNAcentral describes it as "partial 16S ribosomal RNA". It matches the Rfam family "Bacterial small subunit ribosomal RNA", at positions 28 to 526 of the family's 1533-position model. The record is from RNAcentral.